RNAcentral lists this ribosomal RNA (305 nucleotides) under uncultured bacterium. RNAcentral describes it as "partial 16S ribosomal RNA". It matches the Rfam family "Bacterial small subunit ribosomal RNA", at positions 508 to 807 of the family's 1533-position model. The record is from RNAcentral.
ACAGCAGCCGCCGCGGUAAUACAGAGGGUGCGAGCGUUAAUCGGAUUUACUGGGCGUAAAGCGUGCGUAGGCGGCUAAUUGAGUCGGAUGUGAAAUCCCCGAGCUUAACUUGGGAAUUGCAUUCGAUACUGGUUAGCUAGAGUGUGGGAGAGGAUGGUAGAAUUCCAGGUGUAGCGGUGAAAUGCGUAGAGAUCUGGAGGAAUACCGAUGGCGAAGGCAGCCAUCUGGCCUAACACUGACGCUGAGGUACGAAAGCAUGGGGAGCAAACAGGAUUAGAUACCCCCGUAGUCCCUGUCUCUUAUAC